CUGACGGAAGCGCAUGGGUAGAGCUCGGGUUUGAGCGCCCAGCGUACCUUCCUGAGCCUAAAGGGGCAAAGGAAGGAGAGCGCGUGAACGUCAG
RNAcentral lists this non-coding RNA (94 nucleotides) under unclassified sequences. RNAcentral describes it as "L4-Archaeoglobi ribosomal protein leader". It matches the Rfam family "L4-Archaeoglobi ribosomal protein leades". The record is from RNAcentral.